This 366-nucleotide ribosomal RNA is filed under the name uncultured eukaryote. RNAcentral's name for it is "partial 18S ribosomal RNA". It matches the Rfam family "Eukaryotic small subunit ribosomal RNA", at positions 592 to 976 of the family's 1831-position model. The record is from RNAcentral.
CAAUAGCGUAUAUUAAAGUUGUUGCAGUUAAAAAGCUCGUAGUUGAAUUUCUGGCGGGCGCGCCGGUCUUCCAAGUGUUGUACUGGGCGCAGUCCGCCAUCCUUGUGGAGAGGGCUUGCAUUGAGUUGCGUGUCGGAUCUGCAUCAUUUACUGUGAAAAAAUUAGAGUGUUUAAAGCAGGCUGUCGCUUGAAUACAUUAGCAUGGAAUAAUAAGAUAGGACUUCGGUCUAUUUUGUUGGUUGCGAACCGAGGUAAUGAUUAAUAGGGAUAGUUGGGGGUAUUCAUAUUUAAUUGUCAGAGGUGAAAUUCUUGGAUUUAUGAAAGAUGAACAACUGCGAAAGCAUUUACCAAGGAUGUUUUCAUUAA